Artibeus jamaicensis (Jamaican fruit-eating bat) is the source of this 107-nucleotide small nuclear RNA. Lineage: Eukaryota; Metazoa; Chordata; Mammalia; Chiroptera; Phyllostomidae. The record is from RefSeq and is a predicted model, not a curated record.
AUGCUCACUUCAGCAGCACAUACACUAAAACUGGAAUGACACAGAGAAGAUUAGCAAGGCCCCUGCGCAAGGAGGACAUGUAAAUUCAUGAAGUGUUCCAUAUUUCA